This 497-nucleotide ribosomal RNA is filed under the name uncultured bacterium. RNAcentral's name for it is "partial 16S ribosomal RNA". It matches the Rfam family "Bacterial small subunit ribosomal RNA", at positions 28 to 507 of the family's 1533-position model. The record is from RNAcentral.
GAUGAACGCUGGCGGCGUGCCUAAUACAUGCAAGUCGAGCGAACAGACGAGGAGCUUGCUCCUCUGACGUUAGCGGCGGACGGGUGAGUAACACGUGGAUAACCUACCUAUAAGACUGGGAUAACUUCGGGAAACCGGAGCUAAUACCGGAUAAUAUAUUGAACCGCAUGGUUCAAUAGUGAAAGACGGUUUUGCUGUCACUUAUAGAUGGAUCCGCGCCGCAUUAGCUAGUUGGUAAGGUAACGGCUUACCAAGGCGACGAUGCGUAGCCGACCUGAGAGGGUGAUCGGCCACACUGGAACUGAGACACGGUCCAGACUCCUACGGGAGGCAGCAGUAGGGAAUCUUCCGCAAUGGGCGAAAGCCUGACGGAGCAACGCCGCGUGAGUGAUGAAGGUCUUCGGAUCGUAAAAAUCUGUUAUUAGGGAAGAACAAAUGUGUAAGUAACUAUGCACGUCUUGACGGUACCUAAUCAGAAAGCCACGGCUAACUACGUG